UGAUGUUCAUGCUUUGUACAUCUUUUAUCAA
RNAcentral lists this non-coding RNA (31 nucleotides) under Rattus norvegicus (Norway rat). The record is from RNAcentral. Lineage: Eukaryota; Metazoa; Chordata; Mammalia; Rodentia; Muridae.